RNAcentral lists this transfer RNA (65 nucleotides) under Dipodomys ordii (Ord's kangaroo rat). It matches the Rfam family "tRNA". Rfam says of the family: Transfer RNA (tRNA) molecules are approximately 80 nucleotides in length. Their secondary structure includes four short double-helical elements and three loops (D, anti-codon, and T loops). Further hydrogen bonds mediate the characteristic L-shaped molecular structure. tRNAs have two regions of fundamental functional importance: the anti-codon, which is responsible for specific mRNA codon recognition, and the 3' end, to which the tRNAs corresponding amino acid is attached (by aminoacyl-tRNA synthetases). tRNAs cope with the degeneracy of the genetic code in two manners: having more than one tRNA (with a specific anti-codon) for a particular amino acid; and 'wobble' base-pairing, i.e. permitting non-standard base-pairing at the 3rd anti-codon position. The record is from Rfam by way of RNAcentral. Lineage: Eukaryota; Metazoa; Chordata; Mammalia; Rodentia; Heteromyidae.
GGUGGCUCAGUGAUAGAGCACUUGUCUUGCAUGCAUGAGGCCCUGGGUUCCAUUCCUCAGCACCA